UCUUCAACAUCAGGUUGUGGGAUGGAUGAGAAGCAUGUUUCAAGACCCCAUAAUGAACCUUCCCAUAAAACAGCCAUGGGUAUGAGAAGCAGAGGGCUACAUAAGGGAUAUGUCAGGCAGAUGAGAGCUUUUAGCCUGGAGGAGAUGUCAAGCACUUAGGCACUGCAGGUGAUCUGCUCAACACUCGUCAACACAUAGCUGCUUGUGAAGGUGGUGAAUUAAAGUAUACACUAGUGUUUUAAGAGCCUCCUGAAAUACUGAUCUCAGAGAUCCACAGAAGCUUGAUCCUGGUGGAAGUGGGAAGUGGUAGGCUUGCAUGUGAAGGCUUAUUUCACAGGUAUCGCUACCUCUUUAGCAGAAAUAUGUGACAAUUCAGAGGUCUGUAACAAAUUGGCACGGUUAUGUUCUUCUCAUUUGUCACUGACUUAGUAUGAUUAAUUUAAUGCCAUCUUCAUAUCAGAUCACAUUAUUUUUCUGACACAGGUAUUUAAAAGUAAUUCUGGUUAUUCUUUUUAAUACACCCAAGUCAUUAUUCAUAUAGACUAGAUAUGAGCAAGGAUUGUUUGGGCAUGAGUUUGUGUGUGAAGAACAAUGUGUGUGUGUGCACUCACUCAGAGGGGGGAGUGCUUGGGAAAUGAUUGGCAUGUAACAACAGAAAGCAAUAGUUGCCAUUUCUUUUUAUAAAAUGAAUCCCUUUAAAAUUAUAAUCAAUUGCCUGAGAUUGAAAAUACCAUAAAACUGUUGAGGCUGGAAGGGAUCUUAUCUAGUCCAGCGGCUCUGCUCAAGCCAGAUCAGGUUGCUCAGGACAAGCCUAUGUCUGAUCAUUGCAUAAUUGUUGCACUGUAAAACAAAUAAAGAAAGAAGCAAACAGAAAACUAUGGCAGUGGCUUAGAAUCGUAAGAUUUAAGUCAGUGUAUUUUGUCUUAUUGCAUUGUAUACUUAGCAUUCACAGUUCCUGUUUACAACUGUUUCUCUGAAACCAUGACAAUGAAGAAAAAAAGCCACAAAGGAUUUUCCUUCAAUCACAUGAUUCUAAGAGCUGGAGUUUAUUACAACUAUAUUUAUUACAACUAUCCAGGCUGGAUGUGGCUCUGGGCAGCCUGGUCUAGGGGUUGGUGACCCUGCACAUAGCAGGGGGGUUGAAACUCGAUGAUCAUUGUGGUCCGUUUCAACCCAGGCCAUUCUAUGAUUCUAUGAUUCUAUAUGCAGAGAGAUUUUUGAGUCACUGCAAACAAUGCAUCAUAUCCAGUCCAGACUCCACACAAGGUUGUGAAGGCUAGAAUUAACAGCCAGCCAUGGAGAGGAGCAGUGGAUACAAACAAUUUGGAAUGAGAAGACAGUGGAUCACAGAACCAAAAAUUUCCUCAAGCUUUGCUCAGCUCAGAGAUGAAAGCUUGCAGCUGUGUAAGCAGGAGGCCACAACUGAUCUCAGCUACCAUCAUGACUUUUUUAAGGAGAAGAUGCUUCAAAUUCUUGCUUAUGCCAUCUGCACUUUCAGCACAUGACGUUCAGUGAUUCAUAGGCAUCUCCUGUUGGUCAUCUCAUUGUCAAGUAUUCCCCUUGUUCACAUGGCGCCACACCCGGUAGUUUCUUCCUUGUUUUCUAAACAUCUAUUUUUAAUCAUUUGAGGACUCCAUCAAGAUCUUUCAGACAUGAGGCUCUUCUCUUUUCAUUUGAGUAAUGUGGCAUGCAUAAUGCCUCUAGGUUUUCCAAAGGAUCAGUCCUGGAGCUGAAACAAAAUAAGCAGCUGGAACACCAGGAGUGUACAGUUAGCUUUUAAUUCAAAGACAUCCUGAAAAUCUAGUUUUUGACUGCAAGGUUCAGUGGGGAUAAUCCAUCCUGAGGGUUGUUCUUCUAACUUUUCUUAAGCCUAUCUUGUCAUUUUUGAAAAGGCUGACGUGGUUUUAAAGUUCCCAUGGAAAUUAUGAAUUACUUCAUCUCAACUUUACUGUAUCUCUUCUGCAUUAUCACCAAUGGCCAGAAGGCUUCAUUGAGGGUUCCUAGUAGGUCCUAUUCUGCUGGAAGCUACUGACAUGGAAAAAAAGCUUUUUAUGGCUUAUUAAAAUAAGCUCAAUCUGAUUUGACAAGAUUUCUUAGAGGAGGAUUUUCAGUACGAGCAUUUUUAUUUAUUGUAUGUUAUUUCCUAUAUAUUUGCAGAUAUAGGACCUCUUAUCUUAGGCUCUUCCUCUUUUAAGAUCUGAAUAUCUUUAUGUUUUCUUCUGGCUUCAAUGAAACAUUAAAGAAGGAAGAUCAGAAGUUAUAAUCAAUAAACAUUACCGUUAUAAUCGAUAAACUGCAACAAACAAAAAAGUAAACUUUCAAUUUUAUUAAUACAAUUUCACGAUAAAAUUUCUAAUCUGCCAAGUGAAAUUGAAAGAUAACUUCACAAUGUUUCUGAAGCUUUUAAGAUACUUAAAAUAACAGAAGUACAGUAGCAGAAAAAAAAAAUAAACUUCAACUAUUCAGGCUUCCUGACUUUAAGAAAACACGCCUAUGUGUUGACUGAUAUGUUCCAUCAGAAACAGUUCCAUUAUUUACUAUCAGGAAAGUGAAGAGUGUGACCUAAUUCCUGGAGUGUGUCCCUGUCUUCUCCUGUUAACAGUAACUAGUCCAAUAGAUCUAAAUCUUGAGGAAAGUUCUUGAAGUCUCACAGAAAACAGAAAGUAGAAUGGAACGUUCUUCCCAUUCCAGUUUAUCUGCCAUCAUGUCUCCUGUGGGCACUGCUGAUACUUGCUUCUCCUUUCAACAUCGUUUGAUCCUCCCAAAGUUUCGCUUUGUUUCUGUCUGGCUGGAAAAAAUGAUGAAACUGAAAUCUGGAGCCUAAGAAAAUGAAGACUAGUGACUUGUUCUUACCCCUACCAGAAAGUUAUUACACUUCACACCCCUGAAGGGAAACUACAUAGCAAGGGAACAGCUGUUAGGUCUUUAUACAGUCACUCUAGCAGCAUGCCAGGUCCCCUUAGAUACUGAAAGACCACUGUCAGGUCUCUCUGGAGCCUUCUCUUCUCCAGGAUAAAAAGCCCCAGCUCUUUCAGCCUGUCAACCUUUGCCACCUGGCCAGAAGGGAAGACACGUCCCCUCUGGGUCCCUUUCCUACAUGGAGCCAUGCAGGCCCGGCAGUGCUGGGGAUCUGGAGGUGCUGCUGAGGAUCAUUCAGGUCUGCAGGUACACAGCUGAACUCCUUCCAACUGUGGCUGUAAAUCUGGUGCUGUCCUACACUGCAUUCUUCAGUUCUUGUUUACUGAAAGAGCAUGGUUACUGUGAGUAUUCCAGCUUUCACUGCAAAAAGUGGGAAUUUCUACCUCUCCUUGUUACAAAGCAAAGCUUGAAAACAUGAUGUUGGCAAACUUAAACUCCUGAAAAUCUGGGAUUGAUGUAAUAUAAGAGAUGGGCUCAUAAUUUUUGUGAUUACACAUCACUUGAAGGGGGGGGGGGGGAGGGGGGCAUUAAUUAUUUCUGACUGUUUGCAGGUGCAAAGUUUCCUCUUUGGGAAUGCUUUGUCAGUGAUGUCCUCAGACUGAUAAUAACAUCAUUUUGCUAUUAGCAUGUGUGAAUAUGAGCAGUCCUAUGGUCUAAUACAUUUCCUCUCCAGAUUUGGACUCUGAUCUUGCAAGCUGUAUGUUAUACCUGUGAAAAGUACUGCAGUGUUGACUAGUGUGCACAGGCAAGAAGCUCAUUUUACUCAUUACAAAAUCUGCUUUCAUAGAAAUCACAGUAUGUCCAAAUGCCACGUUAUUAGCAGAAGAGGAUAUCAUGAUACAGAUUUCCCACCUGCUAACUGUUCUUUACUCCAAAAAGUCAAAGUAUGCACAACUUUCCUCGCCCUCCAUCUUGACGACCCACAGACACCGGCGUAGAAAUGAAAGGACGCCUCGAGCAGAAAAUCUGAAAGGCUGAUGCCUUUCCGUCGGUCCCGUUAGGUGGAGCUCUCAGACAAGGAGAAAUGACAUCCCACCAGGCACCCUGAGGAGUCGUUAGCACUGUAUUAUUCAGAUAAAAUUGAAGAACAAAAAUGCAGCUGGAGUUCAUGCAAGUGGCAAUUUGAAGAGUACCUUUAUUCUCAAACAGCUUGACUUCUCUUGUCGGGGAGAGUAUCUGUCAAACCACACGUUUCUCCUUCCUGAGCUCAAAUAACAGGUGGCUGAAAUCUGAAAAGGGCUGAUUUUCAAGAACGUGUUGUAUUUAGCAAGUUAUAUUUACAACCAAAUAGCAAUGCAAUCAUGUCUACUCGCUGCUCCUCUGGGACAGAAUUAAGAAAUAUCACCCAAAUGUGAACAGCAGAUCCGUGAUACAGGCAGGAGUGGGACUGGUCCUUCUCAAGUCACAACUCCACUGUUUAACUACAGGGCCAUAAAACUUCCUUUCCUAGUCUGCUAGCAAUGCCACGAUCCACUCAGACAAAGAAUGAUAUCAAGAAUAAGUCCAUCUGGCAUCAGCCACAGCCCAUAUGAGAUGAAGAUCAACAGCCUGGGAAGAGGAGUGAACUCAGUGCCUAGGGCUGGGCAGUGCUAGCACAAGCUGUCUUCCCCCUUUGCUGAGGGGGGCUGUCAGGUUUGGAUCAGCAGCAACACAAGGGCAGCCCCAGAAGUCAUUGCCUGUGUCAUAAACCAGAUGCCCCAGGGGAUUCUGAAUAACCCUACAGGCAAACAGAAUGGGCCAUCAUCCUCUUUUGUCAUGAAAAGGUAGGAGAUUCACUUCUGCAGCUUCAAGAGAAAUUGGGAAAGUAUGGCUACUUGAUUUUCAGCCCUGAUUUGUGCCUUCAAUUUGAUAAAGAUCCAUUCUUACACGCUUGAGUCAUUUUAGCUACUUUUUCUUGCUUUUUUUCCCCUGUACACUCAGACCUGAAAACUGGAACUCCAGCAUCCCAGGAGGGUACCACUGACGUAAUGUAGCAUGACAAUACAUAACUCCCAUUGGCUUCCUGCGUUGGUGCUCACAAGUGUUCUACGCAGAAAGUCUUUUCUUCAGAACUGUGUUGUGCUGAGGACUGAAUUAAUCUGUUAUUUAAUGUGGCUACUGAGCUUUAUGUUCCCCUGCAAAUUACCAUUACUUGAUAUUUCUUCUUGCUGUGAAUUUUUUUGUCGAGUUUGGACUUGGUGAUCCUUAUGGGUCCUUUCCAGUGUGGGUUAUUCUAUGAUUUUAUGAUUUCCAAACUGUAAAGAUUUAUACUUUCUCAUGUUGUUUGAUCGUUUGCUUUUAAUACAUCUCUUCAUCUGCUGAAUAAUGCAGGUAGAUUUUGGAUUUUCUCAUGACUUUGCCCCACCAAAGUAGCUAACUAGGGUGAAGUCCAUUAAUUGAUAUCACUGAGAACUCAGAACCUGUUUUCUGGCUCUGUCUUCUGAAAGGAAAAUCUGUGUUGUUUGUUUGAUUGCUCCUCAAGCUGCAUGUGCCUUCCCAGGCUUUGAAGCUAUGCCCAUCACUGCAGAACAUGAGAUGACUGAUAACGCCCUUCUCAUUCACAGAACAGACACUGUUCAGCAACAACAUGUUUUGGCCUAAAAAGUGGUGUUUGAGACCUGAUACGUAAUCUAUGAAUUCGUCCAAUCUGGUCAGUGCCCCUUGCUUUGGUGUUCUUAAGAUAUAGAUGCACAUCCACUCAGAAAAUCACUGCUGCCCCAGGCAGUGGCCAGGCCAUCUCUAUCAGCUCUUGGUCACUGGGAACGUUUCAAAGUUGCUCUGGAAACAGAAGGCUCUGAAACUACACAGUGUUAUUCCCAUGAACAAUGCACUGCCCUACAGUUUGCUCUGUUCACAGCCAGCUACUCUUCUAUUACUCUUUUUAUUUUAUUAUUUGCCCACAAAUUUUGUUAUACUUUCUUGUAAGCAGUAAAAAUUCAAGUUUUGUUGAAAUCAGCAAUAAAAAUUCUGAAGCAAAAAAUACCAAUAAAUCUAGUUAUUUAGCCAAUAAACAGAGGUAGGCUAAACUAGUAUGCUCUGAUCCCUGUGCAGCAGUGCCAAGCAGGUGGCCAUACACAAUUUAGCUCACUGACGAUUGCCUGCAGUGUGACCAACGCAUGGCAGUCCUUGGUGCAGACACAUCCAGGAGCAGCUGGCCGAGGGCAUUCACUGGGUAUUUUGGGGCAUUGUCCUGGCACCUGUUCUCCAAUGAAUUGUUCUUUAUCACUUUAAUAAACCGGGAUAUACAUUCUUACAUUUUGGCUUCUAAAAUUCCCGUGAAACCACUGAAAGCUGAGCAUGCGGUGGAAGACUGUAUGUAGGAAUGUUCAGCUUCUGUUGGACAUUCUUGAUGGGAAUCUCCUUCAGUGAACACUGAGAUGUAUGAACUACAAGCCUUUCACCGAUACCCUGAAGUUGCAGGCAAAAGCCACUGUCUUAAAAAAGAAAGGGAUUAGGCUAGCUGGAUGUUUUGGUUGGUAAAGGAGUUGAAAAACAUUAUUUAUUUCAGCAUGAACUCACCGGACCUCUGCCCCUGUUUUCACUGCAGAGAGACACAGGAUGGAUUCAUUUUGAUUCUGUUCUCAGGCGAUGGUAAGAGGAUCGUCUCUGUUGAAUAGCCCUGACUGUUGUGACACCAAGUGUCCUCCACUAGCACAGAGCCCUGUUUGUUCCCCCAGCCCCAGCGACACGCUGGGUCAGACUCCCUACAUUGGGGCUGCACGCAUUCGGCAGAUCUCUUCACCAUCAGUGGGGUUCAGGGGGGACGCAACGUGGCUGACACUGGGACUACAGACCCUGGGCAGCUGGGGAGCAAUGAUGGUGGGCCCAGCAGGGCAAUGCCCCCUCCUGCCAGUUUCCUUCUCUGAGCAACCUGUUCAUCGGGGUCCGUGUAGGUGUGCAAUGCUGUGUGACCGUGGAUUUUUGCACCCAACCUCUGUGCGCAUUGUUGACUGCAGUGGCACCACUGCUGCAGCACAUUUUCAAAGAGAACUGAAGAAAACAAAAAGCUACAUGUACUGGUAUUCCUCUUUAAUUUAAUAUCAUCUUACAAGGUGGAAAUUAAAAUGAUUUUUUCUGUCACCGUUAUCUCACUUCGCUUGGCGAUGAUCGAUUUCCUUCUCCCCUACUGCUUACUAAUAAGACAUCUGAACACUGAGAUGGUUUUUGUGUUUACUUCCUUGUUUAAAUCAGCUUCCCCAGCUAAGGACAGCCUUGGCACUACAUCUGCUCCGCAACUUGUGAUUUCUGCGUUGGCUCCACGCUGACAGAACGUCAGGCAUGGAGAGGUAUAUAUUUUUAAUUACUCGGGGAUGCCCCUGUGUAUACGUACAGGCAAAUUAACUAAGCACAGUCCAAAACCUGCUCCUAGCAGCGCUCACAUGUUACACACACACACACACAUUUCAGGCACCGAGCCUCACCUCUUGGGGCUGACGCAUGGAGAGAUGGUGGCAGGUGAGAACGACACCUUUCUACAAAUGGAACACUGAUGUCCAGGGAGAGGAAUAGACAAAAGUCAGCAUCGCUGAUGUCUGAAAGAAUCUGGUGCUUGCUUCCAGAAAUCAGCGAUCCUUCGCAGAGGUGGGGGUAUGGCAGUGAGCACGGCUGCUGCCUGGGGUCUGGGCACCGUGCUGUGAGCUCCUCGCACCCUGCUAGCACGGCAGCUCCAGCCCUGAUGGAGUUAUUGCGACAGACUAAAAAUGCUCAGUGAACAUCUCACAGUUUAAGGAGAAAAUACCAAAAGGGAAGGGAAGGAAACUUGGCCAUAUGCACAUCGCAGGCGAGGAACCAUGGAAAGAUGGGGCCGAGGCUCUGGAACUGAAUGCUGCUGGGGAGCUGAGUAAUAGGCUCUGCAGGGCACGCUCUCGGGAUGUCAUCCCACACCUUUUGGACGUUUUGCUGUCUGUGGCAUCUCCUUACCGAAUGUGUUUUGUGUCGCCCCAGCUGAAAUCUCUGUGUUCAGCAUUAGUCAGUUUUUAUCUCUGGGAUCUUCACACCCCAAGACCUACACAGUGCUGUCCUAUCUCCUUCCUCUCAAACUUCAUUGUCCUUCGCUUACCCUGUUUCUCUAAGCGGAAAUUUUGGUGUUUCCUUCUCCCUCUUGGCAAAGCUGCUCUUGCUCUUCUCAGGAAGACAACACCUUAAGGUUUCUUUCAGCCCUAUCCUAAACAGUUUCACGAUUUUCUUCACAACGAUCUCUGUAGCAACACCACCUCACCCACAGCUGGGCUGUACCGGGUCCCUUCCCACAUGCAGACCCCGUGGGGGGACCCCACACCACGGCCGGGUCCCGGCCCUGGGCAGAGGCACCCGCGGCACUGCAGGGACCGGGCCGGGAGG
RNAcentral lists this long non-coding RNA (8238 nucleotides) under Gallus gallus (chicken). Its description in RNAcentral is "lncRNA (ENSGALG00010003217.1)". Lineage: Eukaryota; Metazoa; Chordata; Aves; Galliformes; Phasianidae. The record is from RNAcentral.